Molecule: unclassified non-coding RNA, 513 nt
Filed under: uncultured Bordetella sp.
Lineage: Bacteria; Pseudomonadati; Pseudomonadota; Betaproteobacteria; Burkholderiales; Alcaligenaceae
Description: partial 16S-23S ribosomal RNA intergenic spacer
Rfam family: Bacterial small subunit ribosomal RNA
Source: RNAcentral
GUCUGGAAUCCCGAAGAGAUUUGGAGUGCUCGCAAGAGAACCGGAACACAGGUGCUGCAUGGCUGUCGUCAGCUCGUGUCGUGAGAUGUUGGGUUAAGUCCCGCAACGAGCGCAACCCUUGUCAUUAGUUGCUGAAAGGGCACCUAGACUUGAGACUGCCGGUGACAAAACCGGAGGAAGGUGGAUGAUGCCGCGUCCUCAUGGCCCUUAUGGGUAGGGGCUUCACACGUCAUACAAUGGUCGGGACAGAGGGUCGCCAACCCGCGAGGGGGAGCCAAUCCCAGAACCCGGUCGUAGUCCGGAUCGCAGUCUGCAACUCGACUGCGUGAAGUCGGAAUCGCUAGUAAUCGCGGAUCAGCAUGUCGCGGUGAAUACGUUCCCGGGUCUUGUACACACCGCCCGUCACACCAUGGGAGUGGGUUUUACCAGAAGUAGUUAGCCUAAAUCUCGUGGGCGGAGGGCGAUUACCACGGGUAGGAUUCAUGACUGUGGGGUGAAGUCGUAACAAGGCAG